RNAcentral lists this unclassified non-coding RNA (348 nucleotides) under soil metagenome. RNAcentral describes it as "partial contains 5.8S ribosomal RNA, internal transcribed spacer 2, and large subunit ribosomal RNA". The stretch from base 1 to 120 matches the Rfam family "5.8S ribosomal RNA", at positions 35 to 154 of the family's 154-position model. The record is from RNAcentral.
GAUGAAGAACGCAGCCAAAUGCGAUAAGUAAUGUGAAUUGCAGAAUUCAGUGAAUCAUCGAAUCUUUGAACGCACAUUGCGCCCGCCAGUAUUCUGGCGGGCAUGCCUGUCUGAGCGUCAUUUCAACCCUCACGCCCCUAGGGCGUGGUGUUGGGGAUCGGCCAAAGCCCGCGAGGGACGGCCGGCCCCUAAAUCUAGUGGCGGACCCGUCGUGGCCUCCUCUGCGAAGUAGUGAUAUUCCGCAUCGGAGAGCGAUGAGCCCCUGCCGUUAAACCCCCAACUUUCCAAGGUUGACCUCAGAUCAGGUAGGAAUACCCGCUGAACUUAAGCAUAUCAAUAAGCGGAGGA